This 74-nucleotide transfer RNA is filed under the name Candidatus Woesearchaeota archaeon. RNAcentral describes it as "tRNA-Gln". It matches the Rfam family "tRNA". Rfam says of the family: Transfer RNA (tRNA) molecules are approximately 80 nucleotides in length. Lineage: Archaea; Nanobdellati; Candidatus Woesearchaeota. The record is from RNAcentral.
AGCCCCAUAGUGUAGCUGGUCAAUCAUAGCGGAUUUUGGAUCCGUUGACGGCGGUUCGAAUCCGCCUGGGGCUA